This is a long non-coding RNA of Alosa sapidissima (American shad), 705 nucleotides long. RefSeq lists it as uncharacterized. The transcript has 3 exons. NCBI's taxonomy places the organism in Eukaryota, Metazoa, Chordata, Actinopteri, Clupeiformes, Clupeidae. The record is from RefSeq and is a predicted model, not a curated record.
UAUAAAGCAGACAGUUCUUCAAGGAUAUCGAAAAUGAGCCACGGUCGUAAAUGCAGUGUUCCAGGCUGAAACUUAGGCUACAAAGAAAGCGGAGACUUUCCAUAGUCUUCCCAAGGAUUCAAAAGUUCGAGGGGCAUGGAUAAUGUUUUUCUACUAGAAGAUCCCUGUAAAGUUCGACACUCCGUUAUUAAUUUGCAAAACAUUUCACCGAAGUCAUUUUUCAAAAACUUGGACAGUUUAAAUCAGGAUUUGCUACGCUGCUGUUACUGAAACGAGGGGCUGUUUCGACCGUAAGGUCAUCACAACCGCAUGCUGUUUUAUCUUGCAGCCAUGCACUUCAAUGCGAAUGCUGAGUCCCCACAACAGAAGACAGCAAAGGAGAAACUAUGUACAGACUUGCCAAACAAUUUAUCAUCAAAGACCCUCUACCUGAUUGGGAUGCCGUCCAGUGGAUUCCUGUGCCCCAGGACUUGUGUGCUCAGCUUGACAGACCUUCUAUGGAGGAUGCUGUUGCUGAACAUGAGUCACGGUUCAGUCGACAAGGGGUCUGAAUCCAACGUACUGCCCUGAAGUAUCCGGAUGCUCCCUCCAUAUGCGUAGCACCACACACGAGGGGAUCAUGACAUGGACGCUUCUUCUAAGGAAACCCAAGCAUCUGCUCACAAAAGACCUGUAGGCCAAGUCACUUUAUUGCCUGCAACGAGA